UCAUUAUUUAUCAGCAAUCUGUGUCAUUACAUUAAUGGAUCAUUUGUUUGUUUUACACUGAGAUCCAGGGAGCAUUAUUGAGGACAGGGCAGGGAAAUAGCACGAGAAGGAAAAACCUGAACUGAAAGGGAGGUUGUUAAGGGACACCAAAGGCAUAUGUGGAUGUCUGGCACAUAACAUGAGGAUAUUGGCUGCCUAGAGAUUAGGAAAGUGAGUAUGUCAGAAAAUGAAGAAGCAUAAAGAGGUAGGGUAAACCUUGAAUAAUUAUUUUGUUAAUCUUGCAAAUGCAACUAAUUGGUUAGCCCAUUCUCUGUGUAUCAUUUAUCAUGUAUCUGUAUCAAUAAAAUAAAAAUAUAACAAAAAUUGAACACACUAAAUUUAUAUAUAUAUACCUUAUAAAUAGGUGUAUAUAAUAUUUUAAUAAAUGUCAUUUGUUGUCUAAAGCAUAUGCAAAAAUAAAAAUUUAAAAGAUGAGAUUAAAUUAAAAAGUAUGUUUCUUAAUGUUUUUUAUCUACUCCCUAGUAUAUCUAUUUGCUUAUCCCCUUGUGAAUACUUUGAAAUCCACUGGCUUAGGGGAUGGCUAAGCCAAACAGACGAGAGUUUAAAAUCCUAUCUUUGACCCUUUCAGCAGUGUGUUCUUGAAAAGAUACAUAACCUCUUGUUUUUCAAAAAGUUAUUUUUUAAGGGUGGGGGUUAAUAAUAGUACCCAUGUUAGAAUACCUGAAAGAUUAAAGGAGAUGCCCACAUAAACUGCUUAGCACAUGUUUUUUUCAGUACUAGUGCCUAGUGAAGUCUCCUUAUUAUAUUGCUGCAAGAGUCCUGUGUGCCUCUGAAACAUCUCUGGAACGUUGGCAGUGGCUAUAAAUAUGCAUAAAAAGAAUAUAGUUGCAGGAGUAGAGAUCACCUUCACCUUUUCAAGUGAUGUACACGCCACCAACACCACCACAAGGCCACUGAGAUUUUAACAGAAGGGGAAGAAAAAGCAAGUCCUGUCAGAUUUCCUGUUCUAUUUUUCUAACUCAUAAUUAGUAGAGAUGAAACCUGUAUAAUUUAUUUGCAUUGUUUUACUGCCUGACAUUAUAUUAAGUUCCUUUUCUGUUAAUUUAUUAUUUGCCACCAAUCCCUGCGGAACCCUUAGGAUACACUUCAAAAUGAAAUAUUUUUCAUCCUUAUUAAAAUAUUUUAAUGAAUUCAAAUCCUGAAAGUGCUUGAUGAUGACCAGCAGCAUUAUCUUAUAUACAAGGAAAAAAAGUUCUUAGAGGACAUAACACUGUGACAAAUAAGCAGCAGAAAUGAUACCUAAGUCACAUAUUUUAAAGGAUAUUAUCAUAACAUAGGGAAAUAUGACAAAUAGUGAAUAAAUGCCUGUUACUCAAAAAAUUAUUUUCUUUAUCUCUUAUAUUUACAUACAAACUCAUAUAAGCCUAUUUUUAAAAAUAAAUGUUCUUUUAUUUUGUCUUAAGGGAGAAUAUUGCACUUUCAGCUCUCUCCAGAGUCUGUUUUUAAUUAACACCAAAUAUUAUGUUUGCUAAAUCCAUAUUAUGAACAACACAAAUUUGUAUUUCCAUUUACUCUAAUAUGGAAUUCCAUAAAAAGUAAAGGUUUUAUAGAGGGCUUACAUUAUUCCCUUACUGCUAUCACAAAUAAAAUAUAGAAAGUCUUAAUAACUAUUACAGAAUUUAGUUCAAAUGUGGCCAAGAUGUAGAGAUCAGUCUUCAGAGGGGAAAGACAGACAACUAUAAGAGAGCCAUUUCUGGCUUCCCCAAUGAGGGACUUUUCCCUUUAAGAUUGCUUCUAAUCUCUCUCUUCACCUUUAUUCACUUCUCCUACUGGCAUAUUUGGGACAUCCAGGCUCAGCCCGACACUGUUUUCCUCUUCAAUACUAUUUCCUCCAGCAGCAACUACUCCCAUUUGGGCUUGUCUGAUUCUGAGGUUCUUUGUUAGGAAGUUCAUUUAUCUCUUACUGAAACCCAAAAUCUCCAACAUCCACCAUGUAAAAGGUGGUAUUCUGUCUUCUCUUUUCUCUUCUGAAUUUUUCAAAAAUUAGGAUUAAAGUGUGAUCUAUUAUCAGCUUCCCUGGAAAGAGUAAAAACUGUACAGAUAGAGUGAGAUUGAUGGUGCCCUGGAGGCAAGAGAGGAUAUUGCAGAACAUUGGGUUACAGGCUCAAGCCAGUAGAGGUCCACAUGAUCACCUGCAUCAGUAAGGUUGAAGCAGACAUUAAGAAUCCAACCACAGGAGUUCCUGCUGUGGCACAGUGGGUUAAGAAUCCGACUGCAGCAGCUUGGGUUGCUAUGGAGGCACAGGUUCUAACCGCUCGGUGGUUAAAGGAUCCUGAAUUGCUGCAACUGCAGCCUAGGUCACAGCUGUGACUCAGAUUCAGUUCCUGGCCUGGGAACUUCCAUAUGCCACCAUGGGUGCAGCCAUUAAAAAAAAAAAAAAAAAAAAAAAAAAAAAAAAAAAAAAUCCAACCAUACCACACUCCUUAGAGUUCUUGCACAGAUCUUUGUUCCUGUAAAAACUGGUAAGUCAAACUUAGGAUCUAAUACAAGAAAUGAGACCAAGGGAAAAAGAGGAAAGCAAGAUAAGGAAUAAUAAUGCAUGGCAGGAUCUUGGGGACAAUAAAUUUAUGGCACUUGUUACUGGCUGGAGAAUUAGUAUAUUAUGUUGGAUUGGAUCAGCAAAAAGGUUGAAAACACCAUUAGCACAAUGACUAUUUCAGUGUGACUGUCAACACUCCCACCAACACUAAUACUUAUUGAAUAGUUACUAUACAUCAAGCAGUAGGUUAAGAAUUUAAUCCAUUUAUAUUCAAUUCUUUUAGCACAGUAAGAAAUAGGUACUUAAUUCCUAGCCAUCCCCAAGUCAGGGCAGAGCUAGCUGAGAAUCCAGAAUAUUGUUAAAGGUUAAAGAAUUAUAAUGGAGACUCAUUAUAGGUAUAGGCCUUUGUGCACCACAUGGAUAGCGGCCUUUGUGAACUGUAGAACUAUACAUCCUAAAGUGAGGAGAAAUCUCAUGUGAUCUGCUGAUUUACUCUCUGAUCUUCAGACAUUAUUCCUAUUUUGCAGAGAAAGAAUCUGAGGUGCAGGGAGGUUAAGUGACUUGUUAAAGAUCAUACAGUUAUAAUGAUAGAAAACUGUAAAAUAACUCCUUAUCAAGUCUUAGGAACCUGUUGAUAACAUUUUGAGAAACUGCUGUUUGAAAAUCCAAAUUAAUCUUUCCUAGAAUGCCCACUAUUCAUAGUGUUUCUCUUUCCCCCAUGGGAAUACAGAUACUUGAAGUUUGCUGCUUAAAAUAACUAUCUUCUACCUUCUAAUCUAUACACACCUUCUUCAGCAUGACUGCUGGAUUCUAUUUGCUGUCCAGGUUGCCCUGUGAGUUGCUAACUCCUGUGGCUUUGCUCUAGAAGCCUCUCUGUGAGCUGAAAUCUCCAUCUACACAAUUUCACUGCUCAUAAAGACAUGUAGCAAGGAGAGCACAAAAGAAGCCAAUUUAUCCAUUUUUAUAUAUCUGGAAUACAUGUGGAGGCAAAAUUGGUGGUUUGCCUCAGCUCUCCCUGCUAAGAUAAUUUGGGGUGAUAUUGCAACUAAACGUUAUGUUUAAACCAUGCCAGUCACGCUGUGCAUUUUAAAAACCACAUUAGAGAGUGCAUUACCUUUCUAACAUAUCUGAGCAUAUGAGUAAAUUUCAAAGCAGAAUAACUUCCAUGAAUAGAAAAUUAUCUCACCCUUAAUUUCAUAUUGCUAUUCAAAGCCUAUAGAGAAUCUUCAUUUGUCUUACCUUAUUUCUACAUUGAUAUGAUUUUCACUAAUGGUAAAAUUGUUCAAAUGGUUGGAUUUGUUUAAAAAAUUGUUUGUAUUGUAUUGGCUCUCUUGUACUCAUGUAUAAACAUACUAAUACACUUUCUCUCAACCCCUAAAGUGUAUAACCUUGAACUCUGUUUCUAAGUCUCCUUUUUUUCCUUUAAAAUUAAAUAUAUUAUCAAAUUUUGGAUAUCUCCAUUCAUUAAAAAGGUCUAGAUUUUCUCCUGUGUGUGUGGCAGUGGUGGUGGCAUUUUUCCCCCCAUUUUCUUAACAGAAUUACAAACCUAAGUCCAAAUCUUACUUCUUACCUGAACUACUGUGACAGGUUUAUUGGCUCUUUUUACUGUAACUCUGCCUUCUCCCACUACCAGUUAAGCAAAGCAAAAAUACCAGCAUUAUCAAUCACCGAAUGCGUAUAUGGUAAUGGUUGAUAUUUUCAUCCUUUUACUUCACUAUUUUAUAAAAUCUAUUCUCUGUUACUAAUUGUGUCAAGUCCAAAUCCAUUAACUUCAUAAUUAAUAAGUGGCAGAUUUUCAGACUCUCAUAGACCAUGUGAUCUUUCUUGAUAGAUGGAAGGCUGUUUUAGAGGUUUAUUUUCUACUUUGAAUAAAUUCUAGCUCUUAGUCUUUGGUUGUGCCAUAUCUUUCCUGAUUUAGAAAAUGCCCUGCGAUGGCAGACAUUACCAUUCACUCUGUUAUACAGUUCCCCCAGACACACAAAUAGUUGUACUUUUCUGCCCCUUAAAGUUAAGUGGGACCAUGUGAGUAGCCAUAUAGGUGUAGACCAAAUUUUGGACUGAGGCAUUUCACAUCAGGUGCUGCAUCCUAUAGCCUUGUUCCCCAUUCCAUGGUGAUCAUGGAAACACACAAAAUAAGCCCUUCAUCUACCUGAAAUAGUAAGUUCCCAACAUGUACGUGUUGAGCAGAUAGGAUAAGCUAGUAAUGGUGAUCUGUUGUUUUAAGCCACUAAAAUUUGAUCAUUAUUCUUGGUUGCAUCAUAUCUAACCUCUUGUGAGAUUUAUAUAUAUAAAACAAUCAUUUAAAAUGUGUCACAGAAUUCAAAACCAGGAAGUGGUUCUUUGCUACUUACUAAUCCCAUCUUUUUCUUUUCAACAUUUCAUAUUUACCUUGUUCUUUAUAAUUUUGCUUCCAUUCAUUAAAUCAGGCAGUCCUUCAAUGACUGUUUAUUGUAUGCCUACUCAACAUGCUAUUGUGAUUCAUCAAGAAAAUUGUUUGAUCAGUAUUUAAAGCAUGCUCAUGACUGUGGGAAAUAAUUAAAUAAAUUUCAUGUAAACUUAAGAAUCUAUAUGUUUGUUCCACAUUUGUAUCUGUCUUGUGGGUGCAUUUUAUAUUACUUUGAGGACUAUCUUGGAUUAAACUUGCGCCCUGCUUCAUUUCUCCUAUCUUUUCCAGUUCCAGGAAGAUCAGUAUAAAAAGGAAGCUUGAUAUUUUUUCUUCCAAUACUGGGCACAUAAGACUCUACAAACUUUUACAGAAAUUGAAGUAAUAAGUUAUUUUAAUCUACUCAGAAGUUUCUGUUUAUACAAAAAAAAAUCCAAAUAUAAACAAGAUGUUCUGUUUCAAUGAUAGUAUAAGUCAAUACAGUAAAAGUGGCAAAUACUGGAAAACCAUCAGUUGUUGUCCCACUAAGUUUAACCAUGUGGGUAUUAUGCUAACCUUGAGAGUAAAUUACUAUUAGCAUAAAAGACGAAAGAUAUUUAGCUAAGCCUGAGAGGUUUUAUUUAAAUAAUAGAUAUUUGUUAGGGAUUAUUACUGUCAGUAGAAAGGAGAACACUAGCAAAAUAAUUAUGCCUAGUCCUGAGUUCUGCCCUAUUGCAAUAAAUUUUAAUAGUAAAAAAUAGCUAGAAUAUUUAAUUCUAAAGGAUUUCAUGAAAAAUAUGAAAAUUUGUGUAAAUUUUAAAUAUAAAUGUACUCAAGUAUAUUAGCAAAGAGAGUCUGAUACAUCUGUCUUGGAUGCUAAAAAUAUUCAACAUAAUACUUUUAGUAAAUGUUAUUUAGUGCCAGUGAAAAAGUUGAUGUAGUAUAAGAUACAUUUGGUAUCAUUCUUGGCCUCAUUUUUUGGUUAGUUUUCUACAAUAAGAAAUAAAUUUAUUUUAGUGCUUCCACUGUAUUCUAUACAGGAUAUGUCAGUCUACUUAGAUCACUAAGUAUAUGGAAGCAAGUGUAAGCAUAUAUUAUUUGGCGUUAGAAGAUCAACUCUGCUUAAAAUUAUAAAAGCUGAAUAAAAAUUUUUAAAAUAUUUCUUUCUGACAAGUUCAAUGUAAUUUUUUACUUAAUUGGUGCCUUGAAUAAAGAGCUAGUGUGCAGUGACACUAUCGCUGGGAAUCUGUCAGAAUUUUUCUCAUUAACGGUAUUUUUUAAAUGACACUUUGCACUUUUACUUCAAAAAUAAUAUUUAAAUCCCUUUGGAUAAAUUGAAGCUGACCUAAAAACAUCCUCGAUAAUUUUAUUUUACCAAACAAGGUAGGAAGACAAUAUUCCCUCUUGGGAAGAACAAACAAAAGAGCUUAAAGAUAACUUUCAAUAACUUCAAAUGUCAGAGAGUUAUCCAAUUGUUUUAGUAAUAAAAAUGUGCAUAGAUCUUGAAAGGUAAGUGUACACACACACACAGUCAUACUCACACUCAGCAAGCAUACUACUUUAACUAAACUUGUAUACACAUAUGCACAUAUUCAGUGAAGGUCACACAAAGGACAGAGGGCAACAGAGAAAAGUCUCUGAAAUCCAGAGGUUUAGGACUCAACUCCUGACUACUAAAAUCUAAAGGUAGAUCCUGACAAACUGUUCAAACCUUUUGAUAAGCCAUGAUUUAUUAAUCUGCAAAAUAGGGGAUUGAACCAGAUUUGUUGGCUCCUUUCAAACCAGAAACUCUCCAAUGACUAAGUAUUUUUUGGCUUUUCCCCCUGGAUACCUCUUAUAAUAAGCAAAAUGAAAAAUGUCAAUAACCCAGCUCUUAAAAUUAAUGGUUGUCUUCCAUUUGCAAAUAGAGUGUUAGAGUUUGUUGUAUAUGAUUGCUCCUGUCAAGAAAAACCAGAUAAAGUAGCAAAAGGUAGAUGAAAGAAAAAAAACUAUGUAUCUAUUUAAAGAAAUCAGAGCAUGUUUG
RNAcentral lists this long non-coding RNA (6924 nucleotides) under Sus scrofa (pig). Its description in RNAcentral is "lncRNA (ENSSSCG00000062856.1)". The record is from RNAcentral. Lineage: Eukaryota; Metazoa; Chordata; Mammalia; Artiodactyla; Suidae.